GGGUCGGUCGCCAAGUGGAAAGGCCCCCGUCUGAUACGCGGGGAAGCGCGGGUUCGAUUCCCGCCCGACCCA
This 72-nucleotide transfer RNA is filed under the name bacterium. RNAcentral describes it as "tRNA-Ile". It matches the Rfam family "tRNA". From Rfam's summary of the family: Transfer RNA (tRNA) molecules are approximately 80 nucleotides in length. Their secondary structure includes four short double-helical elements and three loops (D, anti-codon, and T loops). RNAcentral also lists the same sequence under 3 other names. The record is from RNAcentral.